CCUACGGGUGGCAGCAGUGAGGAAUAUUGGUCAAUGGACGCAAGUCUGAACCAGCCAUGCCGCGUGCAGGAAGACGGCUCUAUGAGUUGUAAACUGCUUUUGUACGAGGGUAAACGCAGAUACGCGUAUCUGUCUGAAAGUAUCGUACGAAUAAGGAUCGGUUAACUCCGUGCCAGCAGCCGCGGUAGUACGGAGGAGUGAAGCGUUAUCCGGAUUUAUUGGGUUUAAAGGGUGCGUAGGCGGUCGGAGAAGUUAGAGGUGAAAACCCGAGGCUCAACUUCGGAAUUGCCUCUGAUACUGUUAGGCUAGAGAGUAGUAGAGGUAGGCGGAACGUAAGGUGUAGCGGUGAAAUGCUUAGAGAUCAGACAGAACACCGAUUGCGAAGGCAGCUUACCAAGCUACUUCUGACGUUGAGGCACGAAAGCGUGGGGAGCAAACAGGAUUAGAUACCCGAGUAGUC
Molecule: ribosomal RNA, 460 nt
Filed under: uncultured bacterium
Lineage: Bacteria
Description: partial 16S ribosomal RNA
Rfam family: Bacterial small subunit ribosomal RNA
Source: RNAcentral